GUGGGGAAUCUUCCACAAUGGACGAAAGUCUGAUGGAGCAACGCCGCGUGAGUGAAGAAGGGUUUCGGCUCGUAAAGCUCUGUUGUCGGGGACGAAUGUGCAGUAUUUGAAUAAAGUACUGUAAUGACGGUACCUGACGAGGAAGCCACGGCUAACUACGUGCCAGCAGCCGCGGUAAUACGUAGGUGGCAAGCGUUGUCCGGAAUUAUUGGGCGUAAAGGGAGCGCAGGCGGGAAGGUAAGUCGGUCUUAAAAGUGCGGGGCUCAACCACGUGAUGGGAUCGAAACUAUCUUUCUUGAGUGCAGGAGAGGAAAGUGGAAUUCCUAGUGUAGCGGUGAAAUGCGUAGAUAUUAGGAGGAACACCAGUGGCGAAGGCGACUUUCUGGACUGUAACUGACGCUGAGGCUCGAAAGCCAGGGGAGCGAACGGGAUUAGAAACCCGGGUAGUCC
RNAcentral lists this ribosomal RNA (450 nucleotides) under uncultured bacterium. RNAcentral describes it as "partial 16S ribosomal RNA". It matches the Rfam family "Bacterial small subunit ribosomal RNA", at positions 354 to 796 of the family's 1533-position model. The record is from RNAcentral.